GCGGGUGUAGCUCAGGGGUAGAGCACUAGCUUGCCAUGCUAGGUGUCGUGAGUUCGAAUCUCAUCACCCGCUCCA
This 75-nucleotide transfer RNA is filed under the name Rhodospirillaceae bacterium. RNAcentral describes it as "tRNA-Gly". It matches the Rfam family "tRNA". Rfam says of the family: Transfer RNA (tRNA) molecules are approximately 80 nucleotides in length. The record is from RNAcentral. Lineage: Bacteria; Pseudomonadati; Pseudomonadota; Alphaproteobacteria; Rhodospirillales; Rhodospirillaceae. RNAcentral also lists the same sequence under 5 other names.